CCCUGUAGCCAACUGCCCGGCGCAGACUCACGCUUGGAACUAGGACCCUUCAAGGGUCCUACUACAGCUUCAAGGAUUCGCAAAAGAUUUCACGGGAUAUGCCGCAAUAGGCCCAAACUGGAACGAAAGUGCAAAAUGUUCCAACUUUAGGAUGCAAAGGUAUUUAGAGCAGCGUGCUCCUAGAAAGAACCAGGAGUCACGUUGGUGGGAAGAAAACGAAACCGCGCGUCUCCUUCGAGCCGGAAUCGAACCAGCGACCUAAGGAUUUCUUUUGUUGGGAAGCCAACUACAGUCCUCCGCUCUACCAGCUGAGCUAUCGAAGGGACAAGAAAGCGUGCUACCUCUUGAGAUUCAACACAUAGGAACCGGAAUGUGUAAAACCACUGGUUAGUGGUCAAAUCAAACAUGCGUAACCAGGGAGGUAGAGGAAAGAAAGUGUGUUAUAGAGGAAACUUAUCUGAGAAGAGAUGAAUCUGGACAACAUCUCAGGAGAGAAGAUACUUGGGUACCAGAUCAAAUUAUUCAGAAGUAAACAGUAAAAAACCCUCACUAGGUGAAUUAUUAUCUAUUCAAAAAUAAAAAUAAAAUGAAAAAGACAACAGACGUCUUCUACCUCAGCCUUGUUUUCAAGAGCACAAUCAAGGCCUACAAGAGAGGUCAAGCAGCAUACAAAUUCAACAGUUGCAAGUACUGUAAGAGUGAAUGAAUGAAUAUACCAGGACUCCGGAGAUGGUGUCAGAGCUGCAGAGAGACGCUUAUGUUCAACACAAGGAAUCCCAGCUGACAAUGGCCACAGCAGCAGAGCUGGAAGGGCCACAUCCCAGUGGUAUGCAGGAUCAGAUGGAGCAGACCUCCCAACUCUGUCCCCACCAGACUAAUGACCAAACCAACACCAGCAAGAGCAGAAACCUCUGUAUGUCACCUGAUGAGUCAGGAGCUCUUAGAGGCCCCUAAGGCCCCAGCGAGGUACAAUGAUUGCUUAUAGUUUUAAGGAAUUCAGUGAAGAACAAUGGGAAGAACUUCAAAAUGUUUUUGUGAGCCUUUAGCUUCAUGAUGGGGGAAAAAGGAAGCCAGUACUGAAGAAAGUCAGAACCAGGCAAAAACCUAUAGCCCUGAAGGCAUUUGGGGAGGGAGCUGGCUACCCAAAGUGGGACCACACACUCAUUGUGUGGCAGGGCUGCCUGUCCCCUCCUCAGUUAGCCUCCCCUGAAAGUGGAGUCAGUGGGGGCUGGAGGGAUCCUAGUCCCAAAUCCCUGGUUCAAAUAAGGACAAGAAAAGGAAUCCUGAUUUUGCUUGCCACAGAACAAAAUCUAAAAGAGGUCCAUACUGACUGGCAGUAAUUUUAGCACUUAUUUUCAUUGCUUCUCUACCUUACCUUUCUCACUUACCCAUAACACGUUCCUAGAGAAUAAGCAAUUCAAAGCUUAGCUGUGUCAUUCAUCCCUGGGUUCAAGUCGUGCAGCUCAGCCCUGUUUUGGAACCUAACCAGCUAACUAUUUGCAAUAGAAGGGAAAAUUGCCUAACUGACACCUUCCCUUCUUCCAGCCCUGUCCCCUCUCUCCUGCUGCCACCACAGUCAUACAUGCUCAGGAUACGGAUGCUCUGCCCCACACAGCCACUUAACACUUCCCAGAGUAAUGGAGGCUACUGCCAAGUUUUUUACAAGUCACAUUAAAUGCCACAAAUGAAUGGGAUUUGAAAAAUAGGGAUUUCUGUAUGGCUUGAUGGACAAGGAAUAGGGCCACAGUCAUCCUGCUCGUCCCUGAGUUUUUAGUAUAUUGCUGGGUAGCAAGAACACCAAAGUCACUAACUAAGAAGAUUUCAACAUGAUCAUUCAAAUCCUAGGGCUGUAAAAAAUACAGGCUAGUGGUCAUUUAAGCCAAUUUAACAAAUGGCUGUUGGGACAUUCUGGCCAGAGAUCACUGUCACAGACAACUUUACUAUUAGCUCUCCUAUUUUGGGGAAUGCUAGGUACCCACUGCAACGUAUGCUUUUCCUGAGACCCGCUUUAGUCUUACCUGAUCUCAGUUGAGCAGUCAGGGGUGAGUAACUGACCCAAGUCAGACCAAUCACAGUCCUUCCCUAGGAUUUUUUCUUAACAUGUGGAACAAUCUUUCAGAUGUGAAAUGUAAGAUGUAAAGUUUGGGUAGUGUUGACUGGCCAAAUGAGAGAGAUUAAAACUGAUCUGCAAAAG
This is a long non-coding RNA of Manis pentadactyla (Chinese pangolin), 2194 nucleotides long. RefSeq lists it as uncharacterized. The record is from RefSeq and is a predicted model, not a curated record. NCBI's taxonomy places the organism in Eukaryota, Metazoa, Chordata, Mammalia, Pholidota, Manidae. The transcript has 4 exons.